AGGACGAACGCUGGCGGCGUGCUUAACACAUGCAAGUCGAACGAGGUGCUUGCACCUAGUGGCGAACGGGUGAGUAACACGUGAGCAACCUGCCCUUGGCUCUGGGAUAGCCUCCGGAAACGGGGAUUAAUACCGGACAUGACCUUCUCCUGCAUGGGGGAGGGUGGAAAGUUUUUCGGCCAGGGAGGGGCUCGCGGCCUAUCAGCUUGUUGGGGGGGUAACGGCCCACCAAGGCGACGACGGGUAGCCGGCCUGAGAGGGCGACCGGCCACACUGGGACUGAGACACGGCCCAGACUCCUACGGGAGGCAGCAGUGGGGAAUAUUGCACAAUGGGGGAAACCCUGAUGCAGCGACGCCGCGUGCGGGAUGAAGGCCUUCGGGUUGUAAACCGCUUUCAGCGAGGGGCGAAUCAAGACGGUACCUGCAGAAGAAGCGCCGGCUAACUACGUGCCAGCAGCCGC
RNAcentral lists this ribosomal RNA (463 nucleotides) under uncultured bacterium. RNAcentral describes it as "SSU rRNA". It matches the Rfam family "Bacterial small subunit ribosomal RNA", at positions 26 to 518 of the family's 1533-position model. The record is from RNAcentral.